GACCCGGUAGCUCAGCUGGUAGAGCAUCGGACUUUUAAUCCGCAGGUCGUGGGUUCGAGCCCCACCCGGGUCA
This 73-nucleotide transfer RNA is filed under the name Gemmatimonadota bacterium. Its description in RNAcentral is "Gemmatimonadetes bacterium (bioreactor metagenome) tRNA-Lys". It matches the Rfam family "tRNA". From Rfam's summary of the family: Transfer RNA (tRNA) molecules are approximately 80 nucleotides in length. Their secondary structure includes four short double-helical elements and three loops (D, anti-codon, and T loops). Further hydrogen bonds mediate the characteristic L-shaped molecular structure. tRNAs have two regions of fundamental functional importance: the anti-codon, which is responsible for specific mRNA codon recognition, and the 3' end, to which the tRNAs corresponding amino acid is attached (by aminoacyl-tRNA synthetases). tRNAs cope with the degeneracy of the genetic code in two manners: having more than one tRNA (with a specific anti-codon) for a particular amino acid; and 'wobble' base-pairing, i.e. permitting non-standard base-pairing at the 3rd anti-codon position. RNAcentral also lists the same sequence under 1 other name. The record is from RNAcentral. Lineage: Bacteria; Pseudomonadati; Gemmatimonadota.